Molecule: transfer RNA, 87 nt
Filed under: Candidatus Collierbacteria bacterium
Lineage: Bacteria; Candidatus Collieribacteriota
Description: tRNA-Ser
Rfam family: tRNA
About the family: Transfer RNA (tRNA) molecules are approximately 80 nucleotides in length. Their secondary structure includes four short double-helical elements and three loops (D, anti-codon, and T loops).
Source: RNAcentral
GGAGGAGUCGCCUAGUGGUCUAUGGCGCUUGCUUGGAAAGCAAGUGUGCUUCGGCAUACGCGGGUCCGAAUCCCGCCUCCUCCGCCA